GAUGAACGCUGGCGGCGUGCCUAAUACAUGCAAGUCGAGCGAACAGACGAGGAGCUUGCUCCUCUGACGUUAGCGGCGGACGGGUGAGUAACACGUGGAUAACCCACCUAUAAGACUGGGAUAACUUCGGGAAACCGGAGCUAAUACCGGAUAAUAUAUUGAACCGCAUGGUUCAAUAGUGAAAGACGGUUUUGCUGUCACUUAUAGAUGGAUCCGCGCCGCAUUAGCUAGUUGGUAAGGUAACGGCUUACCAAGGCAACGAUGCGUAGCCGACCUGAGAGGGUGAUCGGCCACACUGGAACUGAGACACGGUCCAGACUCCUACGGGAGGCAGCAGUAGGGAAUCUUCCGCAAUGGGCGAAAGCCUGACGGAGCAACGCCGCGUGAGUGAUGAAGGUCUUCGGAUCGUAAAACUCUGUUAUUAGGGAAGAACAAAUGUGUAAGUAACUAUGUACGUCUUGACGGUACCUAAUCAGAAAGCCACGGCUAACUACGUG
This 497-nucleotide ribosomal RNA is filed under the name uncultured bacterium. Its description in RNAcentral is "partial 16S ribosomal RNA". It matches the Rfam family "Bacterial small subunit ribosomal RNA", at positions 28 to 507 of the family's 1533-position model. The record is from RNAcentral.